This 207-nucleotide ribosomal RNA is filed under the name uncultured bacterium. Its description in RNAcentral is "partial 16S ribosomal RNA". It matches the Rfam family "Bacterial small subunit ribosomal RNA", at positions 568 to 774 of the family's 1533-position model. The record is from RNAcentral.
CGCGUAGGCGGCUUUUCAAGUGACGGGUGAAAUCCCUCGGCUUAACCGAGGAACUGCCUGUCAGACUGGAAGGCUUGAGACCGGGAGAGGUGAGUGGAAUUCCCAGUGUAGCGGUGAAAUGCGUAGAUAUUGGGAGGAACACCAGUGGCGAAGGCGGCUCACUGGACCGGAACUGACGCUGAGGCGCGAAAGCGUGGGGAGCAAACA